This 433-nucleotide ribosomal RNA is filed under the name uncultured bacterium. Its description in RNAcentral is "partial 16S ribosomal RNA". It matches the Rfam family "Bacterial small subunit ribosomal RNA", at positions 29 to 507 of the family's 1533-position model. The record is from RNAcentral.
AACGAACGCUGGCGGCAUGCCUAACACAUGCAAGUCGAACGAGAACUUCGGGUCUAGUGGCGCACGGGUGCGUAACGCGUGGGAACCUGCCCUUAGGUUCGGAAUAACUCCCCGAAAGGGGUGCUAAUACCGGAUAAUGUCUUCGGACCAAAGAUUUAUCGCCUUUGGAUGGGCCCGCGUUGGAUUAGCUAGUUGGUAGGGUAAAAGCCUACCAAGGCGACGAUCCAUAGCUGGUUUGAGAGGAUGAUUAGCCACACUGGGACUGAGACACGGCCCAGACUCCUACGGGAGGCAGCAGUGGGGAAUAUUGGACCAUGGGCGAAGGGCUGAUCCAGCAAUGCCGCGUGAGUGAUGAAGGCCUUAGGGUUGUAAAGCUCUUUUACCCGGGAUGAUAAUGACAGUACCGGGAGAAUAAGCUCCGGCUAACUCCGUG